AGCAUCUCUUCUCAAGCAACUAAAUCCCAAAAGUUUAAAACAUUAAAACUAUUAAAUUAUUCAGGUAUAUGGUGGAGAGCAAAUCGACGAAGUUCCUACAUUCAUUAAUGAAAGUUCAAAUCAUGAAAACUAGAGUAGGGAGAAUGUGAAAAAGCCUGAUAUUAACAUCACCAAAGCCAGCGUCAAAUUUCCAGUAUUUGUCCAGCCCACUGGAAGGAAAUCAAAAUGAGAUAAGAUCAUCUUUUGGUGAUUGUUGCUUCUUUGAGUCAUGUCCUGAUUCAGAUGUGCCCCCCGCUUUUUUACCAAAAAUCAUCUCAUCAAGAUCAUCCAUCAUGUCA
Molecule: unclassified non-coding RNA, 338 nt
Filed under: Hevea brasiliensis (rubber tree)
Lineage: Eukaryota; Viridiplantae; Streptophyta; Magnoliopsida; Malpighiales; Euphorbiaceae
Source: RNAcentral